RNAcentral lists this ribosomal RNA (253 nucleotides) under uncultured bacterium. RNAcentral describes it as "partial 16S ribosomal RNA". It matches the Rfam family "Bacterial small subunit ribosomal RNA", at positions 524 to 776 of the family's 1533-position model. The record is from RNAcentral.
UACGUAGGGCGCAAGCGUUGUCCGGAAUUAUUGGGCGUAAAGAGCUCGUAGGUGGUUUGUCGCGUCUGCCGUGAAAACCCGAGGCUUAACCUCGGGCUGGCGGUGGAUACGGGCAGACUAGAGGUAGGUAGGGGAGAACGGAAUUCCCGGUGUAGCGGUGAAAUGCGCAGAUAUCGGGAGGAACACCGGUGGCGAAGGCGGUUCUCUGGGCCUUACCUGACGCUGAGGAGCGAAAGCGUGGGGAGCGAACAGG